This 348-nucleotide unclassified non-coding RNA is filed under the name soil metagenome. RNAcentral's name for it is "partial contains 5.8S ribosomal RNA, internal transcribed spacer 2, and large subunit ribosomal RNA". The stretch from base 1 to 120 matches the Rfam family "5.8S ribosomal RNA", at positions 35 to 154 of the family's 154-position model. The record is from RNAcentral.
GAUGAAGAACGCAGUGAAAUGCGAUACGUAAUGUGAAUUGCAGAAUUCAGUGAAUCAUCGAGUCUUUGAACGCACAUUGCGCCCCCUGGUAUUCCGGGGGGCAUGCCUGUCCGAGCGUCAUUGCUGCCCUCAAGCACGGCUUGUGUGUUGGGCCCCGCCCCCCGGCUCCCGGGGGGCGGGCCCGAAAGGCAGCGGCGGCACCGCGUCCGGUCCUCGAGCGUAUGGGGCUUCGUCACCCGCUCCGUAGGCCCGGCCGGCGCCCGCCGGCGACCCCCCUCAAUCUUUUCAGGUUGACCUCGGAUCAGGUAGGGAUACCCGCUGAACUUAAGCAUAUCAAUAAGCGGAGGA